This 571-nucleotide ribosomal RNA is filed under the name uncultured bacterium. RNAcentral's name for it is "bacterial SSU rRNA". It matches the Rfam family "Bacterial small subunit ribosomal RNA", at positions 346 to 917 of the family's 1533-position model. The record is from RNAcentral.
AGGCAGCAGUAGGGAAUAUUGGACAAUGGACGCAAGUCUGAUCCAGCCAUGCCGCGUGCAGGAAGACGGCCCUCUGGGUUGUAAACUGCUUUUAUAUGAGAAGAAACCCUCAGAUGCGUUUGAGGCUGACGGUAUCAUAUGAAUAAGGAUCGGCUAACUCCGUGCCAGCAGCCGCGGUAAUACGGAGGAUCCAAGCGUUAUCCGGAUUCAUUGGGUUUAAAGGGUCCGUAGGCGGGUCUUUAAGUCAGUGGUGAAAGCCGACAGCUCAACUGUCGAACUGCCAUUGAUACUGGAGACCUUGAGUACAAAUGAAGUAGGCGGAAUGAGUCAUGUAGCGGUGAAAUGCAUAGAUAUGACUCAGAACACCGAUUGCGAAGGCAGCUUACUAACAUGUAACUGACGCUGAGGGACGAAAGCGUGGGGAGCGAACAGGAUUAGAUACCCUGGUAGUCCACGCCGUAAACGAUCAUCACUCGCUGUUGGCGAUAUACUGUCAGCGGCCAAGCGAAAGUAUUAAGUGAUGCACCUGGGGAGUACGCCGGCAACGGUGAAACUCAAAGGAAUUGACGGA